This 254-nucleotide ribosomal RNA is filed under the name uncultured bacterium. RNAcentral's name for it is "partial 16S ribosomal RNA". It matches the Rfam family "Bacterial small subunit ribosomal RNA", at positions 524 to 776 of the family's 1533-position model. The record is from RNAcentral.
CACGUAGGCACCAAGCGUUGUCCGGAUUUAUUGGGCGUAAAGAGCUCGUAGGCGGUUCGGUAAGUCGGGUGUGAAAACUUUGGGCUUAACCCAAAGCGUGCACUCGAUACUGCCAUGACUAGAGUUCGGUAGGGGAGUGGGGAAUUCCUAGUGUAGCGGUGAAAUGCGUAGAGAUGUGGAGGAACACCAAUGGCGAAGGCAGCCUUCUGGGCCAACACUGACGCUCAUGCACGAAAGCGUGGGGAGCAAACAGG